RNAcentral lists this ribosomal RNA (449 nucleotides) under uncultured bacterium. RNAcentral describes it as "partial 16S ribosomal RNA". It matches the Rfam family "Bacterial small subunit ribosomal RNA", at positions 29 to 523 of the family's 1533-position model. The record is from RNAcentral.
AACGAACGCUGGCGGCGGGCCUAACACAUGCAAGUCGAGCGAGGUAGCAAUACCUAGCGGCGGACGGGUGAGUAACGCGUGGGAACGUACCCCUUUCUACGGAAUAGCCUCGGGAAACUGGGAGUAAUACCGUAUAAGCCCUACGGGGGAAAGAUUUAUCGGGAAGGGAUCGGCCCGCGUUGGAUUAGGUAGUAGGUGGGGUAAUGGCCUACCAAGCCGACGAUCCAUAGCUGGUUUGAGAGGAUGAUCAGCCACACUGGGACUGAGACACGGCCCAGACUCCUACGGGAGGCAGCAGUGGGGAAUCUUAGACAAUGGGCGCAAGCCUGAUCUAGCCAUGCCGCGUGAUCGAUGAAGGCCUUAGGGUUGUAAGGAUCUUUCGUGGGGGAAGAUAAUGACUGUACCCCAAGAAGAAGCCCCGGCUAACUCCGUGCCAGCAGCCGCCGUAA